RNAcentral lists this transfer RNA (73 nucleotides) under Perca fluviatilis (European perch). It matches the Rfam family "tRNA". Rfam says of the family: Transfer RNA (tRNA) molecules are approximately 80 nucleotides in length. Their secondary structure includes four short double-helical elements and three loops (D, anti-codon, and T loops). Lineage: Eukaryota; Metazoa; Chordata; Actinopteri; Perciformes; Percidae. The record is from Rfam by way of RNAcentral.
GGGGAAAUAGCUCAAAUGGUAGAGUGCUUGCUUAGCAUGCGAGAGGUAGUGGGGUCAAUGCCCACAUUCUUCA